RNAcentral lists this ribosomal RNA (495 nucleotides) under uncultured bacterium. RNAcentral describes it as "bacterial SSU rRNA". It matches the Rfam family "Bacterial small subunit ribosomal RNA", at positions 903 to 1397 of the family's 1533-position model. The record is from RNAcentral.
AAAUGAAUUGACGGGGACCCGCACAAGCGGUGGAGCAUGUGGUUUAAUUCGAAGCAACGCGAAGAACCUUACCAAGUCUUGACAUCCUCCUGACAGCGUAUGUAAUGUAUGUUUCCUUCGGGACAGGAGAGACAGGUGGUGCAUGGUUGUCGUCAGCUCGUGUCGUGAGAUGUUGGGUUAAGUCCCGCAACGAGCGCAACCCUUGUCCUUAGUAGCCAGCACGUGAUGGUGGGCACUCUAGGGAGACUGCCAGGGUGAACCUGGAGGAAGGUGGGGAUGACGUCAAAUCAUCAUGCCCCUUAUGACUUGGGCUACACACGUGCUACAAUGGCGCGAACAAAGGGAAGCGACCCUGUGAAGGCGAGCAAAUCUCAAAAAAGGCGUCUCAGUUCGGAUUGUAGUCUGCAACCCGACUACAUGAAGCUGGAAUCGCUAGUAAUCGCGAAUCAGAAUGUCGCGGUGAAUACGUUCCCGGGUCUUGUACACACCGCCCGU